UGCCUCGUAGCUCAGUGGUAGUAGCGAUCGCCUGUUAAGCGAAAGGUCGCAGGUUCAAACCCUGCCGAGGCAGCCA
RNAcentral lists this transfer RNA (76 nucleotides) under Nostoc piscinale CENA21. RNAcentral's name for it is "tRNA-Asn". It matches the Rfam family "tRNA". From Rfam's summary of the family: Transfer RNA (tRNA) molecules are approximately 80 nucleotides in length. RNAcentral also lists the same sequence under 4 other names. The record is from RNAcentral. Lineage: Bacteria; Bacillati; Cyanobacteriota; Cyanophyceae; Nostocales; Nostocaceae.